This 1172-nucleotide non-coding RNA is filed under the name Neurospora tetrasperma FGSC 2509. Its description in RNAcentral is "Eukaryotic large subunit ribosomal RNA". It matches the Rfam family "Eukaryotic large subunit ribosomal RNA", at positions 554 to 1731 of the family's 3401-position model. The record is from Rfam by way of RNAcentral. Lineage: Eukaryota; Fungi; Ascomycota; Sordariomycetes; Sordariales; Sordariaceae.
UCCGUCCGGGAGUGUUAUAGCCCCGGGCGUAAUGCCCUCGCCGGGACCGAGGUUCGCGCAUCUGCAAGGAUGCUGGCGUAAUGGUCAUCAACGACCCGUCUUGAAACACGGACCAAGGAGUCAAGGUUUUGCGCGAGUGUUUGGGUGUAAAACCCGCACGCGUAAUGAAAGUGAACGUAGGUGAGAGCUUCGGCGCAUCAUCGACCGAUCCUGAUGUAUUCGGAUGGAUUUGAGUAAGAGCGUUAAGCCUUGGACCCGAAAGAUGGUGAACUAUGCUUGGAUAGGGUGAAGCCAGAGGAAACUCUGGUGGAGGCUCGCAGCGGUUCUGACGUGCAAAUCGAUCGUCAAAUCUGAGCAUGGGGGCGAAAGACUAAUCGAACCAUCUAGUAGCUGGUUACCGCCGAAGUUUCCCUCAGGAUAGCAGUGUUGUUCUUCAGUUUUAUGAGGUAAAGCGAAUGAUUAGGGACUCGGGGGCGCUUUUUAGCCUUCAUCCAUUCUCAAACUUUAAAUAUGUAAGAAGCCCUUGUUACUUAAUUGAACGUGGGCAUUCGAAUGUACCAACACUAGUGGGCCAUUUUUGGUAAGCAGAACUGGCGAUGCGGGAUGAACCGAACGCGGGGUUAAGGUGCCGGAGUGGACGCUCAUCAGACACCACAAAAGGCGUUAGUACAUCUUGACAGCAGGACGGUGGCCAUGGAAGUCGGAAUCCGCUAAGGACUGUGUAACAACUCACCUGCCGAAUGUACUAGCCCUGAAAAUGGAUGGCGCUCAAGCGUCCCACCCAUACCCCGCCCUCAGGGUAGAAACGAUGCCCUGAGGAGUAGGCGGCCGUGGAGGUCAGUGACGAAGCCUAGGGCGUGAGCCCGGGUCGAACGGCCUCUAGUGCAGAUCUUGGUGGUAGUAGCAAAUACUUCAAUGAGAACUUGAAGGACCGAAGUGGGGAAAGGUUCCAUGUGAACAGCGGUUGGACAUGGGUUAGUCGAUCCUAAGCCAUAGGGAAGUUCCGUUUCAAAGGGGCACUUGUGCCCCGUGUGGCGAAAGGGAAGCCGGUUAACAUUCCGGCACCUGGAUGUGGGUUUUGCGCGGCAACGCAACUGAACGCGGAGACGACGGCGGGGGCCCCGGGCAGAGUUCUCUUUUCUUCUUAACGGUCUAUCACCCUGAAAACAGUU